UGUGAGCACACUUCAGUGGGUCAAUCUGAGCCUUUACGACUUGUUCAGUUUACGUGUCAUUCCUUUAUGGAGAAACCUCUGCUCCUUAUGGCACCUUCUCUAGGACGAUAGAUUGACCCAUCUUUGUGAAUCCUCUCACCUCCAGCGAUGCAUUUUUUUAGACAGACUUCAGUAAGUGAAGGUGUUCUCCUUGCUUACACACUGAUUUGUGUGGGACACCUGAAAAGCUUCUUAGUGGCCAUCCAAAGACUGAAUUCUGAUCAGCUUAAUGUCAUUACCCAUAGAGUAAGAUCAUAAGUUAACAUAAGAGCAAUAAAACAAAAAAGAGACCUGAUGAAUUCAUGUCAGCUAGUGCAAGUGGUACAUCUGAUGUUAAAAGUGGUCCCAUGUAAGCAUAAAUUUUGGAAUGACUCAAAUGAAAUGCAGCAAGAGGUCAGUAUAACUUGAGCAUUAAUUUAGAGGUAUGCAUCAAUAAACAAGUCAUAUAAUGACAAUAAGAACAUUCAAUCACAAUUAUGAAGGUAUAUAUAAUAAUCACACUGUUCAUUCAGAGAUUUUCCAUUGCAAGCCACUUUAGAAGAUCUAAGGUUUUUAUGAAGUGACUUAGAAUAUAAUUAAAACAUUUUUCUACAAUGUAAAUCCUAAAUUCCUUGUAACAGGUGUGUGUGUGUGUGUGUGUGUGUGUGUGUGUGUGUGUGUGUGUGUGUGUGUGUGAAUGGGUUUCUGAUAUAAAGGCUAAGUCACAGUUGAUGGUUUGCCAAGUUUAAAAUGUUAUAAUUGAUUGAUAGAGAUGAAGUGCAUGUACUUCAUAUUUGAUCAUUUUAAUAAUGUUUAUUGUCAUUAGAGAUGUGUUGGGAAACCAGGGGCCCUCUGGCUUGUCAACCACCCUAAUAACAAUCAGAAAGAUUAAAUAUUUUAAAUUGUAAAGGCUCGUCUGCUUCUGUUCAAAAUUUGUACCAUCAAUCUGUGACUAUUCGUGCAAAUGUGUGUUACAGUGUUGUUCCAUGAGUUUGCAGACAGUUGCAAAUAGUUAUAUGUGUGUGCCUAUUUUAGCAUGGGAUAAAUUCUAUUGUCCUGUGUGUGUGAGGCUAUGUGGUUCUGUCAGUGUGAAGAUGGACAAUAGAUCUUUAGAGGAGUACCUUGUUUGUAAUCUAAGCCAUCAUUGUCUUCUGUGUGUAGUGUACAGACUGGAUAGUCUAAAUGAGGUGAUGCAAUGGAUGAGGUGUGUGUUCUAUGGUCAUGUCUGGGAGAUGAAUGGAGUCUAGUCUAUAGCAAUCUGUGUUGCAAAAAUUUAGUUCCGGUUCUAAUCCGGGA
Long non-coding RNA from Carassius carassius (crucian carp), 1314 nucleotides. RefSeq lists it as uncharacterized. The transcript has 2 exons. The record is from RefSeq and is a predicted model, not a curated record. Lineage: Eukaryota; Metazoa; Chordata; Actinopteri; Cypriniformes; Cyprinidae.